This 413-nucleotide ribosomal RNA is filed under the name uncultured bacterium. RNAcentral's name for it is "partial 16S ribosomal RNA". It matches the Rfam family "Bacterial small subunit ribosomal RNA", at positions 338 to 766 of the family's 1533-position model. The record is from RNAcentral.
CCUACGGGGGGCAGCAGUGGGGAAUAUUGGGCAAUGGGCGCAAGCCUGACCCAGCAACGCCGCGUGAAGGAAGAAGGCUUUCGGGUUGUAAACUUCUUUUAAGAGGGAAGAGCAGAAGACGGUACCUCUUGAAUAAGCCACGGCUAACUACGUGCCCGCAGCCGCGGUAAUACGUAGGUGGCAAGCGUUGUCCGGAUUUACUGGGUGUAAAGGGCGUGCAGCCGGGAAGAAAAGUCAGAUGUGAAAUCCCGCGGCUCAACCGCGGAACUGCAUUUGAAACUGUUUUUCUUGAGUACCGGAGAGGUCAUCGGAAUUUCCUGUGUAGCGGGGAAAUGCGUAGAUAUAAGGAAGAACACCAGUGGCGAAGGCGGAUGACUGGACGGCAACUGACGGUGAGGCGCGAAAGCGUGGGG